GUACUUUGAACUUUUAGCAUUGCUAAUAUCUUCUCUAAAUUUUCUAAACGAACGGUCUUUGUGGGACGGAGGGAGUAUAAAUCAAGCUCUCAUUCCAUUAUCGAUGAUGUGUUAAUUUUGAAAAUAGUGAAACAAAAUUUGCUACUGAGAAUGGCCUAACAAUUAUUGAGAAUGGAACCUUCGCUUUUUGUUCCAUACAUAUGAACGGUAAAUAUUGUAUUUUUUUAAUUCUAGAUAGAGGAAAACAUACAAAUAUUGAUGUUUCUGUGCUUCUUUUUUAUGACC
This 285-nucleotide long non-coding RNA is filed under the name Setaria viridis. RNAcentral's name for it is "long non-coding RNA (SVIR_LNC003493)". Lineage: Eukaryota; Viridiplantae; Streptophyta; Magnoliopsida; Poales; Poaceae. The record is from RNAcentral.